RNAcentral lists this ribosomal RNA (254 nucleotides) under uncultured bacterium. Its description in RNAcentral is "partial 16S ribosomal RNA". It matches the Rfam family "Bacterial small subunit ribosomal RNA", at positions 524 to 776 of the family's 1533-position model. The record is from RNAcentral.
GACGUAGGGCGCGAGCGUUGUCCGGAUUUAUUGGGCGUAAAGAGCUCGUAGGUGGUUCGGUAAGUCGGAUGUGAAAUCUCCAGGCUCAACCUGGAGGGGUCAUUCGAUACUGCCGUGACUAGAGUUCGGUAGGGGAGUGUGGAAUUCCUGGUGGAGCGGUGAAAUGCGCAGAUAUCAGGAGGAACACCCGUAGCGAAGGCGGCACUCUGGGCCGAUACUGACGCUGAGGAGCGAAAGCGUGGGGAGCAAACAGG